Prolemur simus (greater bamboo lemur) is the source of this 102-nucleotide unclassified non-coding RNA. It matches the Rfam family "Y RNA". From Rfam's summary of the family: Y RNAs are components of the Ro ribonucleoprotein particle (Ro RNP), in association with Ro60 and La proteins. The Y RNAs and Ro60 and La proteins are well conserved, but the function of the Ro RNP is not known. The record is from Ensembl. NCBI's taxonomy places the organism in Eukaryota, Metazoa, Chordata, Mammalia, Primates, Lemuridae.
GGUUGGUCCAAGUGCAGUGGUAUUUACCACUAAUUGAUCACCACCAGUUACAGAUUCCUUUGUUCCUUCUCCACUCCCACUGCUUCACAUAACCAGCCUUAA